ACGGGAGGCAGCAGUGGGGGAUAUUGCACAAUGGGGGAAACCCUGAUGCAGCGACGCCGCGUGAGUGAUGAAGUAUUUCGGUAUGUAAAGCUCUAUCAGCAGGGAAGAUAAUGACGGUACCUGACUAAGAAGCACCGGCUAAAUACGUGCCAGCAGCCGCGGUAAUACGUAUGGUGCAAGCGUUAUCCGGAUUUACUGGGUGUAAAGGGAGCGUAGACGGCAAGGCAAGCCAGAUGUGAAAGGCUGGGGCUCAACCCCGGGACUGCAUUUGGAACUGUCUAGCUAGAGUAUCGGAGAGGUAAGUGGAAUUCCUAGUGUAGCGGUGAAUUGCGUAGAUAUUCGGAGGAACACCAGUGGCGAGGGCGGCCUACUGGGCUUUAACUGACGCUGAGGCUCGAAAGUGUGGGGAGCAAACAGGAUUAGAUACCCUGGUA
This 434-nucleotide ribosomal RNA is filed under the name uncultured Lachnospiraceae bacterium. RNAcentral's name for it is "partial 16S ribosomal RNA". It matches the Rfam family "Bacterial small subunit ribosomal RNA", at positions 341 to 792 of the family's 1533-position model. The record is from RNAcentral. Lineage: Bacteria; Bacillati; Bacillota; Clostridia; Lachnospirales; Lachnospiraceae.